AUUGAACGCUGGCGGCAUGCUUUACACAUGCAAGUCGAACGGCAGCGCGGGGCAACCUGGCGGCGAGUAGCGAACGGGUGAGUAAUAUAUCGGAACGUACCCAGAAGUGGGGGAUAACGUAGCGAAAGUUACGCUAAUACCGCAUACGAUCUACGGAUGAAAGUAGGGGACCGCAAGGCCUUAUGCUUUUGGAGCGGCCGAUAUCUGAUUAGCUAGUUGGUGAGGUAAAGGCUCACCAAGGCGACGAUCAGUAGCUGGUCUGAGAGGACGACCAGCCACACUGGAACUGAGACACGGUCCAGACUCCUACGGGAGGCAGCAGUGGGGAAUUUUGGACAAUGGGCGCAAGCCUGAUCCAGCAAUGCCGCGUGAGUGAAGAAGGCCUUCGGGUUGUAAAGCUCUUUUGUCAGGGAAGAAACGGUAGAGGCUAAUAUCCUUUGCUAAUGACGGUACCUGAAGAAUAAGCACCGGCUAACUACGUG
This 482-nucleotide ribosomal RNA is filed under the name uncultured bacterium. Its description in RNAcentral is "partial 16S ribosomal RNA". It matches the Rfam family "Bacterial small subunit ribosomal RNA", at positions 30 to 507 of the family's 1533-position model. The record is from RNAcentral.